This 304-nucleotide ribosomal RNA is filed under the name uncultured bacterium. Its description in RNAcentral is "partial 16S ribosomal RNA". It matches the Rfam family "Bacterial small subunit ribosomal RNA", at positions 506 to 807 of the family's 1533-position model. The record is from RNAcentral.
CAGCAGUAGCCGCGGGAACACGGAGGGUGCAAGCGUUACUCGGAAUCACUGGGCGUAAAGGACGCGUAGGCGGAUUAUCAAGUCUCUUGUGAAAUCUAACGGCUUAACCGUUAAACUGCUUGGGAAACUGAUAAUCUAGAGUAAGGGAGAGGCAGAUGGAAUUCUUGGUGUAGGGGUAAAAUCCGUAGAGAUCAAGAAGAAUACCCAUUGCGAAAGCGAUCCGCUGGAACUUAACUGACGCUAAUGCGUGAAAGCGUGGGGAGCAAACAGGAUUAGAUACCCCCGUAGUCCCUGUCUCUUAUAC